Syzygium oleosum is the source of this 722-nucleotide long non-coding RNA. RefSeq lists it as uncharacterized. The record is from RefSeq and is a predicted model, not a curated record. NCBI's taxonomy places the organism in Eukaryota, Viridiplantae, Streptophyta, Magnoliopsida, Myrtales, Myrtaceae. The transcript has 2 exons.
AAUCGAGUUGUUGCUCAUGUGGUUGAUUCUUUUUUAUAUUCGAUAUGUUGACUACAUAUUUAAUGAAAAGCAGCUUGCUAAAAAAACAAGUCUUGGAAUUUGGAAUGGAACAACUGAGUAGCUCAUUAAAGGUCAUCAAGCACAUCGAUAAUGUCAUUUGGCUGUCAAAUAUGAGGGAAAGGGAGGAAAAUCUUGAGCAUCUGGACACGCCAGACCAACCACUCAUAGUAAAUGAAAGUAACACCAAUGAUGAGAUUCAAGAAGCUCCCGAAGAAUUGAUGGAUGUAUUAGAAGACACAUGUAGUGAUCCUGAGGUCGACCUUGGGUGACGUUUCAUGCUCAGCAUGGAGCAAUCUCCUUGGUCCUGCUCGUCAUCAAGGUCCUCUUCACGCUGGAAUCCCCUCGUGGCUCAUCAUGUAGGGCCAUCUGGGUGACGCAAAGCGCUUCCUUACCAGGACCUCCAACUCUAAGGAGGAGGCUGCGCUAACAUAAAGCAGGCUGCCGACAUCCCUAAGAAGUGCAAUGAGGACGUUGUUAAGAUCACCAAGCAGAGCACUGGAGAGGGCAUUUGGAAGGAUCUCAUCCUCAACCUGACCCUAUCCUUCCACAACGUGCUCAUCGGAGAGCAUUUGUUGAGGAUUAAUCGACUUAAUGAUAUUAUAUUCGAUUUAUAGUAUAUAUCAGUAUAUAGUUUUUGUAAGGUAAUUUUUUAUUUUUCUUUA